AUGCAAUGUUUCUGCUACAAAGGACAAAUAGCUCAGUAAAACUAGGCUCAUUUGACCUCGCGAUGCGAUAACCUGGAGAAAUUCAGGCUAAGGGCGAGGAUAAGGCCUAGGACUAUCAGCUAGUUGGUAGUGUAACGGACUACCAAGGCGACGACGGUUAACGGGACACGGGAGUGUGAUACCGGAGAGGGAGCCUGAGAGACUGCUCCCACGUCCAAGGACGGCAGCAGGCGCGAAAAUUGUCCACUCUUUGCAGGAGACAGUUAUGAAAAGUAAAAAAGAUAGGUCUUGUAAAGAGAGAUUCUAAAAUUGGAGGGCAAGUUUGGUGCCAGCAGCCGCGGUAAUACCAACUCCAAGAGUGUGUAUGAGAGUUGCUGCAGUUAAAAGGUCCGUAGUCGUUAGUCGAAAUAGGACGUAGGGUCCAGAUUCAAUGUGGAGGGGCUGAUGGGGGCCGCAGUAUACAAGGGCGAGAGAUGAAAUGCCAAGACCCCUUGUGGACUCAGCGAGGCGAAAGCGGCGGCCCGGUAAGUGCUCGGUGAUCAAGGACGAAGGGUAGAGGAUCGAAGGUGAUUAGAUACCGCUGUAGUUCUACCAGUAAAAGAUGCCGACUAUCCUGGCGUGCGGCGUAGGCGGUUCGCCGCCCGUCGGCGCAUGCCGGGAACAGAGAAAUCGAUAAGUGUUCGGGCUCUGGGGAUAGUAUGCUCGCAAGAGUGAAAAUUAAAGAAAUUGACGGAGCUACACCACAAGGAGUGGAUUGUGCGGCUUAAUUUGACUCAACGCGAGGAAACUUACCAAGCCCUUCCCGUCCUAAGACACGAGGGCGCGAGGAGUGGUGCAUGGUCGUUGGAAAUUCAUGGGAUGACCUUGAGCUUAAAUGCUUGAAUGAGUGAGACCCCGUACACCGGCUGCGCUGAGCAGCAGGGAGGUGGGGCGAUAACAGAUCAGUGAUGCCCUUAGAUGGCUUGGGCUGCACGCGCAAUACAAUGGGGCACGUCGCGACAGAUGGACACGCCCCGAGAUGGAUUGCCGAUUGUAAGUUCGGCAUGAAAGCGGAAUUCCUAGUAGACACGUAUUAUCAAUGGGUGUCGAA
Molecule: ribosomal RNA, 1090 nt
Filed under: Microsporidium sp. 1199
Lineage: Eukaryota; Fungi; Microsporidia
Description: SSU rRNA
Rfam family: Microsporidia small subunit ribosomal RNA
Source: RNAcentral